Molecule: ribosomal RNA, 521 nt
Filed under: uncultured bacterium
Lineage: Bacteria
Description: partial 16S ribosomal RNA
Rfam family: Bacterial small subunit ribosomal RNA
Source: RNAcentral
UGGGGAAUAUUGGACAAUGGGGGCAACCCUGAUCCAGCAAUGCCGCGUGUGUGAAGAAGGUCUUCGGAUUGUAAAGCACUUUCGACGGGGACGAUGAUGACGGUACCCGUAGAAGAAGCCCCGGCUAACUUCGUGCCAGCAGCCGCGGUAAUACGAAGGGGGCUAGCGUUGCUCGGAGUGACUGGGCGUAAAGGGCGUGUAGGCGGUUUACACAGUCAGAUGUGAAAUCCCCGGGCUUAACCUGGGAGCUGCAUUUGAUACGUGUAGACUAGAGUGUGAGAGAGGGUUGUGGAAUUCCCAGUGUAGAGGUGAAAUUCGUAGAUAUUGGGAAGAACACCGGUGGCGAAGGCGGCAACCUGGCUCAUGACUGACGCUGAGGCGCGAAAGCGUGGGGAGCAAACAGGAUUAGAUACCCUGGUAGUCCACGCUGUAAACGAUGUGUGCUAGAUGUUGGGUAACUUUGUUAUUCAGUGUCGCAGUUAACGCGUUAAGCACACCGCCUGGGGGAGUACGGCCGCAAG